RNAcentral lists this ribosomal RNA (2925 nucleotides) under Klebsiella pneumoniae. RNAcentral's name for it is "bacterial LSU rRNA". It matches the Rfam family "Bacterial large subunit ribosomal RNA". Lineage: Bacteria; Pseudomonadati; Pseudomonadota; Gammaproteobacteria; Enterobacterales; Enterobacteriaceae. The record is from RNAcentral.
GGGUUGUGAGGUUAAGCGACUAAGCGUACACGGUGGAUGCCCUGGCAGUCAGAGGCGAUGAAGGACGUGCUAAUCUGCGAAAAGCGUCGGUAAGGUGAUAUGAACCGUUACAGCCGGCGAUGUCCGAAUGGGGAAACCCAGUGCAAUUCGUUGCACUAUCGUUAACUGAAUACAUAGGUUAACGAGGCGAACCGGGGGGAACUGAAACAUCUAAGUACCCCGAGGAAAAGAAAUCAACCGAGAUUCCCCCAGUAGCGGCGAGCGAACGGGGAGCAGCCCAGAGUCUGAAUCAGCUUGUGUGUUAGUGGAACGGUCUGGAAAGUCCGACGGUACAGGGUGAUAGUCCCGUACACCAAAAUGCACAGGCUGUGAACUCGAAGAGUAGGGCGGGACACGUGGUAUCCUGUCUGAAUAUGGGGGGACCAUCCUCCAAGGCUAAAUACUCCUGACUGACCGAUAGUGAACCAGUACCGUGAGGGAAAGGCGAAAAGAACCCCGGCGAGGGGAGUGAAAAAGAACCUGAAACCGUGUACGUACAAGCAGUGGGAGCACCUUCGGGUGUGACUGCGUACCUUUUGUAUAAUGGGUCAGCGACUUAUAUUCUGUAGCAAGGUUAACCGUAUAGGGGAGCCGCAGGGAAACCGAGUCUUAACUGGGCGUUAAGUUGCAGGGUAUAGACCCGAAACCCGGUGAUCUAGCCAUGGGCAGGUUGAAGGUUGGGUAACACUAACUGGAGGACCGAACCGACUAAUGUUGAAAAAUUAGCGGAUGACUUGUGGCUGGGGGUGAAAGGCCAAUCAAACCGGGAGAUAGCUGGUUCUCCCCGAAAGCUAUUUAGGUAGCGCCUCGUGAAUUCAUCUUCGGGGGUAGAGCACUGUUUCGGCUAGGGGGUCAUCCCGACUUACCAACCCGAUGCAAACUACGAAUACCGAAGAAUGUUAUCACGGGAGACACACGGCGGGUGCUAACGUCCGUCGUGAAGAGGGGAAACAACCCAGACCGCCAGCUAAGGUCCCAAAGUCAUGGUUAAGUGGGAAACGAUGUGGGAAGGCACAGACAGCCAGGAUGUUGGCUUAGAAGCAGCCAUCAUUUAAAGAAAGCGUAAUAGCUCACUGGUCGAGUCGGCCUGCGCGGAAGAUGUAACGGGGCUAAACCAUGCACCGAAGCUGCGGCAGCGACACUAUGUGUUGUUGGGUAGGGGAGCGUUCUGUAAGCCUGCGAAGGUGACCUGUGAGGGUUGCUGGAGGUAUCAGAAGUGCGAAUGCUGACAUAAGUAACGAUAAAGCGGGUGAAAAGCCCGCUCGCCGGAAGACCAAGGGUUCCUGUCCAACGUUAAUCGGGGCAGGGUGAGUCGACCCCUAAGGCGAGGCCGAAAGGCGUAGUCGAUGGGAAACAGGUUAAUAUUCCUGUACUUGGUGUUACUGCGAAGGGGGGACGGAGAAGGCUAUGUUAGCCGGGCGACGGUUGUCCCGGUUUAAGCAUGUAGGCUGGUUAUCCAGGCAAAUCCGGAUAAUCAAGGCUGAGGUGUGAUGACGAGGCACUACGGUGCUGAAGUAACAAAUGCCCUGCUUCCAGGAAAAGCCUCUAAGCAUCAGGUAACAUCAAAUCGUACCCCAAACCGACACAGGUGGUCAGGUAGAGAAUACCAAGGCGCUUGAGAGAACUCGGGUGAAGGAACUAGGCAAAAUGGUGCCGUAACUUCGGGAGAAGGCACGCUGGUGUGUAGGUGAAGUCCCUGCGGAUGGAGCUGAGACCAGUCGAAGAUACCAGCUGGCUGCAACUGUUUAUUAAAAACACAGCACUGUGCAAACACGAAAGUGGACGUAUACGGUGUGACGCCUGCCCGGUGCCGGAAGGUUAAUUGAUGGGGUUAUCCGUAAGGAGAAGCUCUUGAUCGAAGCCCCGGUAAACGGCGGCCGUAACUAUAACGGUCCUAAGGUAGCGAAAUUCCUUGUCGGGUAAGUUCCGACCUGCACGAAUGGCGUAAUGAUGGCCAGGCUGUCUCCACCCGAGACUCAGUGAAAUUGAACUCGCUGUGAAGAUGCAGUGUACCCGCGGCAAGACGGAAAGACCCCGUGAACCUUUACUAUAGCUUGACACUGAACAUUGAGCCUUGAUGUGUAGGAUAGGUGGGAGGCUUUGAAGCGUGGACGCCAGUCUGCGUGGAGCCAACCUUGAAAUACCACCCUUUAAUGUUUGAUGUUCUAACGUUGGCCCCUGACCGGGGUUGCGGACAGUGUCUGGUGGGUAGUUUGACUGGGGCGGUCUCCUCCCAAAGCGUAACGGAGGAGCACGAAGGUUAGCUAAUCCUGGUCGGACAUCAGGAGGUUAGUGCAAUGGCAUAAGCUAGCUUGACUGCGAGCGUGACGGCGCGAGCAGGUGCGAAAGCAGGUCAUAGUGAUCCGGUGGUUCUGAAUGGAAGGGCCAUCGCUCAACGGAUAAAAGGUACUCCGGGGAUAACAGGCUGAUACCGCCCAAGAGUUCAUAUCGACGGCGGUGUUUGGCACCUCGAUGUCGGCUCAUCACAUCCUGGGGCUGAAGUAGGUCCCAAGGGUAUGGCUGUUCGCCAUUUAAAGUGGUACGCGAGCUGGGUUUAGAACGUCGUGAGACAGUUCGGUCCCUAUCUGCCGUGGGCGCUGGAGAAUUGAGGGGGGCUGCUCCUAGUACGAGAGGACCGGAGUGGACGCAUCACUGGUGUUCGGGUUGUCAUGCCAAUGGCACUGCCCGGUAGCUAAAUGCGGAAGAGAUAAGUGCUGAAAGCAUCUAAGCACGAAACUUGCCCCGAGAUGAGUUCUCCCUGAGACUUUAAGUCUCCUGAAGGAACGUUAAAGACGAUGACGUUGAUAGGCCGGGUGUGUAAGCGCAGCGAUGCGUUGAGCUAACCGGUACUAAUGAACCGUGAGGCUUAACCUUACAACGCCGAAG